RNAcentral lists this transfer RNA (101 nucleotides) under Musca domestica (house fly). It matches the Rfam family "tRNA". Rfam says of the family: Transfer RNA (tRNA) molecules are approximately 80 nucleotides in length. Their secondary structure includes four short double-helical elements and three loops (D, anti-codon, and T loops). The record is from Rfam by way of RNAcentral. Lineage: Eukaryota; Metazoa; Arthropoda; Insecta; Diptera; Muscidae.
CCUUCGAUAGCUCAGUUGGUAGAGCGGUGGACUGUAGAGAGCGCUGUGAGCGAUUAAUCGUAGAUAUCCAUAGGUCGCUGGUUCAAAUCCGGCUCGAAGGA